Long non-coding RNA from Chelonia mydas (Green sea turtle), 4167 nucleotides. RefSeq lists it as uncharacterized. The transcript is spliced from 2 exons. Lineage: Eukaryota; Metazoa; Chordata; Testudines; Cheloniidae. The record is from RefSeq and is a predicted model, not a curated record.
CCUCCUCUCCUUGCUACAGGAGCAACCACGCCUGCUCCACUAUGCGGCAAAGGCUGGGCUGUGGUCUGCGGUGUUUAACCCUCCCCCCUCCUGCUCCAAGCCAGGGAGCUGUCGUAGGGCUUUGCAUCUGCAGUGUUUCUGCUUUAGAAACUUCUGGAAUAAGCGGCCAAGCUGGGGAGAGGAGAGAACCUUUUACACUCACAGAGGAGCAAAGCACAUAGUAAAAGGGACAGAAAUGCACAAGGAUCUAAGGCACCUCUCUCUCCGUGCAGAAUCAUGUGCACAAGUCUCACCCGUGUCUUUUGCAUCCUGGCUUGGUUGUUUUUCAGCCUCCUUAUAAAAUAAACUCCCAAACAAAAACACAGCACAAAAAAUGGGGGUGUUUUGGAGCUCUAAAUGGUGGAAUAAAGGAACUGAUUCUUUCUGCUGGACCUACCGAAAAUCCUUGUCAUUUAAGUUUGUUGAACUAAUUGGUCCUCUCUUUUCGUUACACUGAAUGGUUGGGGGCUUUGUCUGAGCUGGAGUACAUUUGACUGCAUUUGCAGCUUCAGUUAUGAUUUUUUUCUUUUUGUUCUGGUUGCUUUUUUUUUGGUUUCGUAAUUUAAACAGUCCUCCCCAAAUAUCCCAAGGAAAAUCUGCAUCUCUGUGGAACACAUUAAAAAAUAAGGCACAAACUUCCACCAUGGAUUCUUAAAAUGAGAUGGGUUUUUUUAUUUUUUUGGUGAUGGCAUUUUUUUCUUCUGCUUUUAGGAUAUGUUGUAGUAGAAAGCCAAUGGAGGAAUGCAAAGCAUUGGAUCGAUAUUACUUCACACUGACAGCUUGCAGCCCAGACACCUGUCUUCCAUUAAACCUCCGACGCGGCUCGAGCAAACAAGGAAGCAGAUGAAAGAAAAGUACUGGGGAGUGAAGGAGGACUUGGAGUAAUGGAAUUUCCCUGUCGAUGUUAAGUACAGCUCCGUACUGCUGGCAGGUCGCAUGGCUUUUGGGUUUUGCCAGAUCAAAUGCAAAUGGUUUGGUCUUUGACGCAACAGAGAGGAGCACUGGGUUGUCCAUGUGCUGGUAAAAUGUUUGCUAAACCACGUACUCCAGUCCAUCACUCCACCCUGAUUACUGUGCCAUGCUGUAUGGAUUUCUCUAACGAGGCCCACAGGAUUUCUUGUGGGCAUGAUGCAACGCGGAGCAACUGUGACUAUUCUGCCUAGAGGGGUUUGCACAUAUGCAGUUUCACUGUCAUCUCUAAUCCUUAGUUCCAGUUUGGGAUUCCAAGACACUUCAAAGGCUUAUUUUAACACAUGCUGCUUCUGCUUCACUUUUCCAUCCCUUAUGGAACCCGCACUUUAGUUCAAUCUUCAUGCUGCACAAGAGAUGUGAACACUUCCCCCAUGAAGGUUACAAAGCUUUUUAAUGUAAGGGGAGGAGCGUGAGACGUAGGUCCUAAACCCUUUCAUUUUCCCAUUGCUGGCAUUAAAAAACUUUGUGGGGUGAAAGUCGGAACCUGUUGAAGUCAUUGACUUCAACAGGGCCAGGAUUUCACCCCUGGAUUUCUCUUCCAGACAACAAGAGCUCUGGGGCCUGAUCCUCCAUAAUGCUGCACCCCGUGCCAUCAUUUACACCCCGGAAAAGAGUGGCAAAUCAGAAUGGUAGCAUUUUGCAAAGCUGUAAUAAGGUGCAGGGCAAUGGAGAAUCUCUAGAGCAGUAUGUUUAAUUGGCCUUUGUGGAUUCCAAAAAGCUCAGACUGUAUAUUUAGAAUACAUUUAUCAAUAGUAUAUAAAGAGUUAAUAAUUAAUAACUAUUAGAAGCAUAAAAAGUAUGUUUUAUAGUUAGAAGCACAGCAGUACAAGGUGCUACACAAAUGUAGCUGCAUUGGUCCCAGGAUUUGAGAGAGACAAAUUGGUGGUGGUAAUAUCUUUUAUUGGAUCAACUUCUUUUGGAGAAAGAAACAAACUUUGGAGACACACAAAGCUCUUCUUCAGGUCUGGGAAAGGCAACCAGAGUGCCAGAGCACAAUACAAGGUAGGAUAGAUUGUUUAUCAUAAAGGGGUAACACAUGUUGCAGGAGACCAUGUAAAAUGCAAUGCACAGUAGCACCUCUGCACUGCAAUCACAGGACAAAGGAGGGUUAAUGGGUUACAAAUGGUUGUAAUGGGUUGUUGCUGAGUCCAUGUUUUUUAGAGUGUAGCAGAAUUGAGUUUAAGCUCCCAGGCUGGUCUUUUGAAGUUGUUGAGCAGGUUUGCUUUGAAGACGACACUGACCGAUCAGAAACGGAGUGAUUAUUUUGUGAAAAGUGUCUGCUCACGGGUGAUAGGGCAUUUUUACCUUUUAUUGUUUUUCCCGUGUGAGUUCAUUUGAGAGCAUUCAUUCGAGGUGCAAAACCUGCAGACAUAUCUCCACUGCUAUGAUGAUCAACACCCCCAUAACACACCCCUCAAGACCCAUGGGUUCUAUACAUGCCUAUCACGACAUGUGAUGUACCUCCUCCAGGGCCUCAAAUGCCCCAACAUGCAUGUGGGUGAAACCAGACAAUCACUAAACUCUCAAAUGAACCACACAGAAAAAUGGUAAAGACAAUUACUUGUGGGUGAGCACUUUUCACAAUCCCUCUGUAUCGUCCUCAAACACCUUCAAAAGAUAAGCCUGGGAGCUUAAAUUCAUAACUCUGCUAGACUCUAAAACAACAUGGACUCAACCAGAGACAGUGGCUUUAUGGCUCAUUACAACAAUUUGUAACCUACUAAACCUCCUUUGCCCUUUGACUGCACAGAUGCUAAUUGCCCACCUCAUUUUAAGUGGUCUCCUGCAACAUGUAUUGUGGUUAACACUCUCUCCCACCUUGUAUUUAGCUGUAACACUCAGGUUACCUUUCCCAGACCUGAAGAAGAGCCCUGUGGAGCUCGAAAGCAUGUCUCUUUCACCAACAGAAGCUGGUCCAAUAGCAGAUAUUACCUCCCCCACCUUGUCUCUUUUAUGUAUGGUUAUAAGUCAUCGUUAUAAGCAACCUACUGACCUGUUGGACUUGCUGAUUAACCAAGUAUUAAAACAUCUAUUAAUAAUAAUUUAUUACACCUUUACUCACUAUUUAUAAAUGUACAUUUAAUAUAAAGCGUGAUCCAGAAAAGACCACUUAAAGGGACACUGUCAACUCGAAGUCUAACUUUUUUUUAAAAAAAGAGUAAAGAAUUUAAAGGAUUAUCCAGUGCUCUACCUGCCUCUGAGUCUUGCCAGGUUUUUGUUUGUUUGUUUGUUUUACAAUAAUUUUCUAAUUCAUUCCCCCCCCUCCCUUGUUGCUGUGUGGAAGCCCCACACAAAUAAAAAAGGGACUCUGAAUGUGCAGGGGCAACAGUGCAACUUGAUUCUACAGAGAGAGGUGAAAUGCAUAAAGAAACCAUGCUGGGGGUGAAAGAAGAUAUUAGAGGGGGGAAUUGUCUGUCACAAUCAUUUUAAUUGUUAUUUGGAACAACAGAAGGGAAAAUGAUUGGAUAGCGAUGUGAUAGCUUUGAUAAUAUGCAGAAAUCAAACUGACAGCUGUCUGUCUCCUCCAUAAUUUAAUACACAGUACAUAAAAUAUUAGAGAAACGUUCCUAGAAAAAUCAUUCAUCUGCGUACAUAACCAGUGCUUUGACUGCAGUUUAUGGUUAUGUAAAUCAGAAGAGAAUAACUUAUGCUUUCGCUGACCCCUGGUGGCUAUGAAAAUAAUUCAGGGUUGAUCAAAACAAAAAUGCAUUUUCAAAACAAAAAACCUUUUAAAAACAAUUAAAUAGCACCUUUCCCCCUGGAAAGCUCAGAGAGAAAACUCUAAGCCUACAAUCACGGAGGCUGGAACAAUUUUUACAGUGGGGGUGCUGAGAGCCAUUGAACCAAACUGUAAACCCAGAUAUGAUGGAAACCACUUCCACCAGCACCAGUUCCAGAGGGGCAAGAGCUGGUUUGGAAUCUGACAUUCUAUUCUGUUCGAUAGGUUCUUAGCCCACCCUCAUUGCCACAGUAUCUAAGCAUAUUCCCAUUGUACAUUAAGGAUAUGUCUACACCACACAAAAACCCUCAGCAAGUCUCAGAGCCCAGGUCAACUGCCUUGGGCUCCCAGUGUUCACGCUGCAGUGUAGCCAUCCCAGCUCAGGCUGGAGCCUGGGUUCCAAUACCCUCCCCCCCUCACUGGGUUUGAGAGGCCAG